UUGGAGGGCAAGUCUGGUGCCAGCAGCCGCGGUAAUUCCAGCUCCAAUAGCGUAUAUUAAAGUUGUUGCAGUUAAAAAGCUCGUAGUUGAAUUUCGGGGUUAGUAGGUUGGUCAUGCACUGGUAUGUACUGGUCUCACUGAUUCCUCCUUCCUGAUGAGCCGUAAUGCCAUUAAUUUGGUGUUGCGAGGAAUCUGGACUGUUACUUUGAAAAAAUUAGAGUGUUUAAAGCAGGCUAACGCUUGAAUACAUUAGCAUGGAAUAAUGAAAUAGGACGUUCGAUCUUAUUUUGUUGGUUUCUAGGAUUGACGUAAUGAUUAAUAGGGAUAGUUGGGGGCAUUAGUAUUCAAUUGUCAGAGGUGAAAUUCUUGGAUUUAUUGAAGACUAACUACUGCGAAAGCAUUUGCCAAGGAUGUUUUCAUUAAUCAAGAACGAAAGUUAGGGGAUCGAAGACGAUCAGAUACUGUCGUAGUCUUAACCAUAAACUAUGCCGACUAGGGAUCGGAUGAUGUUAAUUUUUUAAUGACUCAUUCGGCGCCUUACGGGAAAC
This 548-nucleotide ribosomal RNA is filed under the name uncultured Glomeromycotina. RNAcentral describes it as "SSU rRNA". It matches the Rfam family "Eukaryotic small subunit ribosomal RNA", at positions 548 to 1098 of the family's 1831-position model. Lineage: Eukaryota; Fungi; Glomeromycota. The record is from RNAcentral.